Molecule: ribosomal RNA, 396 nt
Filed under: uncultured bacterium
Lineage: Bacteria
Description: bacterial SSU rRNA
Rfam family: Bacterial small subunit ribosomal RNA
Source: RNAcentral
GCCCUGGCUAAAUAUGUGCCAGCAGCCGCGGUAAUACAUAUGGGGCGAGCGUUAUCCGGAUUUAUUGGGUGUAAAGGGUGCGUAGGCGGGAAAACAAGUCAGUUUGUGAAAUCCCUCGGCUUAACUGAGGAAUUGCAGUUGAAACUAUUUUCUUGAGUAUCGGAUGGGCAAGUGGAAUUUCUAGUGUAGCGGUGAAAUGCGCAGAUAUUAGGAAGAACACCAGUGGCGAAGGCGACUUGCUGGACGAAAACUGACGCUGAGGCACGAAAGUGUGGGUAGCAAACAGGAUUAGAUACCCUGGUAGUCCACACUGUAAACGAUGGAUACUAGUUGUUGGUGUUAAAAUCAGUAACGUAGUUAACGCAUUAAGUAUCCCACCUGGGAAGUACGACCGCA